RNAcentral lists this ribosomal RNA (433 nucleotides) under uncultured bacterium. Its description in RNAcentral is "partial 16S ribosomal RNA". It matches the Rfam family "Bacterial small subunit ribosomal RNA", at positions 29 to 507 of the family's 1533-position model. The record is from RNAcentral.
AACGAACGCUGGCGGCAUGCCUAACACAUGCAAGUCGAACGAGACCUUCGGGUCUAGUGGCGCACGGGUGCGUAACGCGUGGGAACCUGCCCUUAGGUUCGGAAUAACUCCCCGAAAGGGGUGCUAAUACCGGAUAAUGUCUUCGGACCAAAGAUUUAUCGCCUUUGGAUGGGCCCGCGUUGGAUUAGCUAGUUGGUAGGGUAAAAGCCUACCAAGGCGACGAUCCAUAGCUGGUCUGAGAGGAUGAUCAGCCACACUGGGACUGAGACACGGCCCAGACUCCGACGGGAGGCAGCAGUGGGGAAUAUUGGCCGAUGAGCGAAAGCCUGAUCCAUCAAUGCCGCGUGAGUGAUGAAGGCCUUAGCGUUGUAAAGCUCUUUUACCCGGGAUGAUAAUGACAGUACCGGGCGAAUAAGCUCCGGCUAACUCCGUG